AUUGAACGCUGGCGGCAGGCUUAACACAUGCAAGUCGAGCGGGGGAAGGUAGCUUGCUACCGGACCUAGCGGCGGACGGGUGAGUAAUGCUUAGGAAUCUGCCUAUUAGUGGGGGACAACAUCUCGAAAGGGAUGCUAAUACCGCAUACGUCCUACGGGAGAAAGCAGGGGAUCUUCGGACCUUGCGCUAAUAGAUGAGCCUAAGUCGGAUUAGCUAGGUGGUGGGGUAAAGGCCUACCAAGGCGACGAUCUGUAGCGGGUCUGAGAGGAUGCUCCGCCACACUGGGACGGGGACACGGCCCAGACGCCGACGGGAGGCAGCAGUGGGGAAUAUUGGACAAUGGGGGGAACCCUGAUCCAGCCAUGCCGCGUGUGUGAAGAAGGCCUUAUGGUUGUAAAGCACUUUAAGCGAGGAGGAGGCUACUUUAGUUAAUACCUAGAGAUAGUGGACGUUACUCGCAGAAUAAGCACCGGCUAACUCUGUGCCAGCCGCCGCAGUAA
RNAcentral lists this ribosomal RNA (501 nucleotides) under uncultured bacterium. Its description in RNAcentral is "partial 16S ribosomal RNA". It matches the Rfam family "Bacterial small subunit ribosomal RNA", at positions 30 to 523 of the family's 1533-position model. The record is from RNAcentral.